Labrus bergylta (ballan wrasse) is the source of this 1065-nucleotide non-coding RNA. The record is from RefSeq and is a predicted model, not a curated record. Lineage: Eukaryota; Metazoa; Chordata; Actinopteri; Labriformes; Labridae.
UUGAGAGACAACUAACUAUACCAACUGAGCCACAGUCACCACUGUCUGUCUGUGGAGUUCAAAUAGUAAUCAUCUAUUUUACUAAUGGGAGGAAGUAUUGUACUUUAUUUAAAAGUAAAAACAUUGUUAAAUGGUCUAAUCAGCUGGUUGGUGAGUCACGGCUCUACCAAGCGUCCCUGUAAUCCAGACCGUUAGAGCAGAUAGCUACCUACAGUAUGUCUUAAACAUUGACUCCCACCCUUUGCACCGUGAUUUUCAGCAUCUUCCCUCUGGACGGAGGUUUUUCAGUCCCAAGGGGCAGAACAAAGCCGAACAAAAAUAACUAUCUUUCUGCUGCUAUCACUGAACUGAAAAAGCUGUAGCCAUAUUUGCAAAUAUCCUGGCUUAAUUUUGUGAUUAAUUUUAUUGUUUUUUUCAUUCAUUGGUGGAACCUUGAGCACUUUUCUACAAUUCUACAAUUCACAUAGCAGACACUUUUAUCCAAAGCGACUUUUAUCAUUGUUAUAAUUUAUUCAUUUUUUAAAAUAAUGUUUCCGUAGGUUAUAAAUAGAUUGAUCCUUCUCGAAUGUGUUUUAUCUUCUUACAUCUGUUUUGUCAUUUCUCUCAUAGCUCGCUAGGUGUACAAAUACAGUAACCUGCACCUGAACAAUGUGUUAUUUCUUUAAAUCUCAUAAAACAGGCGGGUGGAGACUAAUAGAAGGCUGUUUGAAAAAGCAGCACACACUUUGAAGGAAACGUCCCUCCUCUGAACAUCUUCACCUCUCUGCUCCAGAGGACCUGACAAGAAUACUUUCUGCCUAUUCUGAAACACAAAGAUGGCUGUAGCUCUCACUCUCCUUCUUGUUGGCUGUCUGCUCCCAGGUGCCCUGUGUGGACAGUUUGAGAGCAUUAUACCACAGACGAUAGAGGUUCUGAAGGGAUCCUGUGUGACAAUCCCCUGCUCCUUUGAUGUACAGGAUCAAUUUAAUGUAAACUUAAACAACACUUGUAAAGCAUUAUGGAGAGAAAGUACUUUUGGACCUGAUGUGUUUGAUAGCAGUAAUCCACAACAGAAAGGACAAUUGA